RNAcentral lists this non-coding RNA (806 nucleotides) under Pan troglodytes (chimpanzee). The record is from RNAcentral. Lineage: Eukaryota; Metazoa; Chordata; Mammalia; Primates; Hominidae.
CAGGGAGUUCUUGAGGCUGAGUGCGUAGCUUCAAAUCCAGCACUAAUUCCUCACCCCCUGGCCUGAGGUCUUCAUAGAUUGGUGGCUUCAGCCCUGCAAUUAAUUAUAAUCCCUUGCCCACCUUGAUGUAAGGCAGGAAAGCAGAUUGAAAUGCUCCUCUCUGAUGGGCAAGGGGAAUCACAGCCCAUAGAUGUACUGCACCUUCUGUACUACAGGAGCAGAACCUGAAGCUGCUUCCAAGGCUCUGGACACUUGCACGCAGGGCUAGAGGCCAAUGGUAUAUGAGCGGCCUGUGGGGUUAUGAAUAGCAGAACAGACUGGUGCUGUCACAGCCCACUCAUACCACACCUUCUUGGAAUUGCUGCAUCGCCAGAAACGCACACAGAUGGUUUGGCCUUCACGUACCGUUAUGGGCUGCUGUAAGGAGAAAGACAGGGAGGUUCAGGGUGAAGCUAUGAAUUAUACAUGGCAAUGUAUUAAGGCUCGGACCUCAUUGUACAGCUUGGAGGAAGAGAUGGGAGCCAGAAAGGAAGUGUACUCCCCGGGGAUGCUCACACCAUCAUCUGCACAGCAGGAGAGUCAAAUUAGUUCCAGAGGGAGGGAAAUGGUAUGUCUGUACUAACUGAAGGAUCAGAAGGAUCAAAUCUCCCAUGUCAAAACCAACCAACGUUGGCAUGGGCAUGGAAGAAAGAGACAAAUGCAUGUUGUCACAUUACUAAGCCAGCCUGCUUCCAACUACUGUCAUGGAGGAUUCCACUUCUAGGUUAAUUUACAGAGUCACACAGAUUAAAACUGAAAGAACCCAA